GUGAUAUUUGGGUAAGGACACAGAUCCAAACCGUAUCAGGUGUUUGUAUUUCCUUUCAGAGUGAAGAUAUCCUCAAAUGUCUAGUGAUCCUUAACUGUCUGUUCACCUUUAAGACUACAGCACUAAAAAUCUGAUUGGAAGUUCUGAUAUAUGAGUUGGGUUGCCAACUCUGGGUCUUACCCCAGUCCUACAUUCACUGCCACUUCCAGAAAUAUCUGGUAUCACCAAUUCAUGAGCCCACUGGAGGUUUUGAGGUGCAAGUCU
This is a long non-coding RNA of Homo sapiens (human), 264 nucleotides long. RefSeq lists it as uncharacterized. The transcript has 3 exons. NCBI's taxonomy places the organism in Eukaryota, Metazoa, Chordata, Mammalia, Primates, Hominidae. The record is from RefSeq and is a predicted model, not a curated record.